UACGUAGGGUGCGAGCGUUGUCCGGAAUUACUGGGCGUAAAGAGCUCGUAGGUGGUUUGUCGCGUUGUUCGUGAAAACCUGAGGCUUAACCUUGGGCGUGCGGGCGAUACGGGCAGACUGGAGUACUGCAGGGGAGACUGGAAUUCCUGGUGUAGCGGUGGAAUGCGCAGAUAUCAGGAGGAACACCGGUGGCGAAGGCGGCAUCCUGGACCAUUACUGACGCUGAGGCGCGAAAGCUAGGGGAGCAAACGGG
RNAcentral lists this ribosomal RNA (253 nucleotides) under uncultured bacterium. Its description in RNAcentral is "partial 16S ribosomal RNA". It matches the Rfam family "Bacterial small subunit ribosomal RNA", at positions 524 to 776 of the family's 1533-position model. The record is from RNAcentral.